This 450-nucleotide ribosomal RNA is filed under the name uncultured bacterium. RNAcentral's name for it is "partial 16S ribosomal RNA". It matches the Rfam family "Bacterial small subunit ribosomal RNA", at positions 354 to 796 of the family's 1533-position model. The record is from RNAcentral.
GUGGGGAAUAUUGGACAAUGGGCGAAAGCCUGAUCCAGCCAUGUCGCGUGUGUGAAGAAGGUCUUCGGAUUGUAAAGCACUUUAAGUUGGGAGGAAGGGCAGUAAGUUAAUACCUUGCUGUUUUGACGUUACCGACAGAAUAAGCACCGGCUAACUUCGUGCCAGCAGCCGCGGUAAUACGACGGGUGCAAGCGUUAAUCGGAAUUACUGGGCGUAAAGCGCGCGUAGGUGGUUUUGUAAGUUGGAGGUGAAAUCCCCGGGCUCAACCUGGGAACUGCCUGCAAAACUGCAUGAAUAGAGUACGGUAGAGGGUAGUGGAAUUUCCUGUGUAGCGGUGAAAUGCGUAGAUAUAGGAAGGAACACCAGUGGCGAAGGCGACUACCUGGACUGAUACUGACACUGAGGUGCGAAAGCGUGGGGAGCAAACAGGAUUAGAAACCCUAGUAGUCC